This 499-nucleotide ribosomal RNA is filed under the name uncultured Methylophaga sp. Its description in RNAcentral is "bacterial SSU rRNA". It matches the Rfam family "Bacterial small subunit ribosomal RNA", at positions 77 to 572 of the family's 1533-position model. The record is from RNAcentral. Lineage: Bacteria; Pseudomonadati; Pseudomonadota; Gammaproteobacteria; Thiotrichales; Piscirickettsiaceae.
AGCUUGCUGUUUCUGAUUGUGGCGGACGGGUGAGUAAUGUAUAGGGAUCUGCCUAGUGGGGGGGGACAACAGCCGGAAACGGCUGCUAAUACCGCAUACGCUCUACGGAGGAAACCGGGGGCUCGUAAGACCUCGUGCUAUUAGAUGAACCUAUAUCAGAUUAGCUGGGUGGGGGGGUAAGGGCCUACCAAGGCGACGAUCUGUAGCUGGUCUGAGAGGAUGAUCAGCCACUCUGGGACUGAGACACGGCCCACACUCCUACGGGAGGCAGCAGUGGGGAAUAUUGGACAAUGGGCGCAAGCCUGAUCCAGCAAUGCCGCGUGUGUGAAGAAGGCCUUCGGGUUGUAAAGCACUUUCAAUAGGGAGGAAAAUUUAUGCGUUAAUACCGUAUAGCUGUGACGUUACCUAUAAAAGAAGCACCGGCUAACUCCGUGCCAGCAGCCGCGGUAAUACGGAGGGUGCAAGCGUUAAUCGGAAUUACUGGGCGUAAAGCGCGCGU